Homo sapiens (human) is the source of this 2327-nucleotide long non-coding RNA. Ensembl annotates it as long intergenic non-protein coding RNA 710. NCBI's taxonomy places the organism in Eukaryota, Metazoa, Chordata, Mammalia, Primates, Hominidae. The record is from Ensembl.
AGAGCAGGGCGCUCUGGGCCUAGCUCAGAGGACAUGCUCCUGAGGCUAGCUAUUUUUCUGCUACUACUCUGGCUAAGAGAGACAUGUAAGGGCUGGAUGUAAACUCCCAGAGGGCACCUCCUGGGCUAGAGAAGAUGCAGCAUGAGCUCAGGUGGGAAGCAAGGUCUGUGUUGAGAUACUGAAUACAGGACCAAGAAUACAGAACUGGAGGACUAUGGGUGAAGAAGGUGCAGACCAGGCUGUAUUAUGGAAGUGGUUUCCAUCCCUCUCUCCAUCCAUGUGAACUUGCCCACUUUCCAGCUGUAUGAUCUGAUGAGCCCAGGUUUCUGGCAAAAUACAGAGGCCCAGCCCCUCUGGAAUGUUUAAAUUUCUGAAUUAAGAAAAGUGGGCACCCACACAGUGUGUCCAAACCUACAUCCAGCUUUCUCAUUCCCUUGCAUGAUCUGUACAUAUCUAACACCCCAAGGGCAAUUCUUUGUGAUUUUUCUACCAUGCUUGGACGUUCUUGCCUCAAGCUCCUAUGGGAUCCCACCUCUCCUCUGCUGGCUUGCUCCAAUACACUCUUCAUGAAGACUUUCCUAUGGCCCCAUACUAGAAGCAUUUUCUCUCUCCUCAAAUGCCAUAUUUUUCUUCUGUGGUGAAGAUGUGUGUAUGUGUCUUCUUACGCUACUCAUGACCUUGAAAGCAGAAAGUUGAAGGUAUUCAGGUGUCUAGCGGGGAUUACACAGUAGGCACUCAUCCCCUCAUACAUUUCUUUAUUCUGUAAACUUGAAAGCCAGGCAUUGUUCUAGGCACUGAGGACACCGAGGCAAUAGGACACUGAUUUCCUCUUUCAUAUGCUUGUUAGGAAUUCAACACAACACGAAAUAAUCAACAAAUUCGGGGAAUGUUAAUCUGACCAUCACCAGUUACAAAUGAUGUUUCAUGCUACCUUCUAUUCCUGCCUUCAUAAAUCAAGGUAAUUACUUGGCAAUCUGGCUAUGCCUUGUAAGGCAAAAGAGCUGUUCAUUUCUUGUGUCAAAUGGUGAACAGGGAGGGAGAGUAAAAUGGUAAAUAACCCUGCCUCCCAUCUGUGCCCAAUCAGCUCUAAAUCUCCAGGAAAAAAUGUGCUCAGGAUGGCCAGAGAAAUGUCCUUCCAACUGUGCAUGGAAAGGUAUGAUUUUGUGCAGCAGGUGAAGGACUGGUUAGAGUAAGUGUGUGCUGAGCUUUUGUGUUUGAAAGCGAGCCUGUGCACUUCUAACGAUUGGAAGGUUUCCUUGCCUUCUCCGAUCUUACACACAGCAAGGACAGCAAAGCCUUCCAGACCUGCCUGUGACAUGCACUGCACAUUCUAAAGAUGCCUAUGCAAUGGAAAACACCACUGUCUGCUCCAGCACAGCUGCCAUUCUUCCAUCUUAUCGACCUUAAUGCAACAACUCCUCACAGGCAGAGAUUUUAAAAUGUGUUCUUGGCAGAAGAGAGACUCAAAGAUGGGACAAAUGUGUCAUUUAAAUGCCUGUUAAAAUGGAAACAGACAUAGUAUAGUCAGAGGAUUGUGGCAGCUAAGAACAUAGUCUCUGGAGCAAAUCUGCAUGGGUGGCAAUGCCAAGCACAUGAGGUCCUAGUUGUAUGAACUUAGGAAAAGAAAAAGAGAACAUAUAUCCCCCUACCUUUUGAUUUCCAACAGUCUACUGAGAGGCCAAGAUUAUUUGCAGGGAAAGAAAAGGGGUCAAAAUGUUUUGCCAGUAACUCCCAAAUCAUCUACAGCCAAGGAGAAAAGUGUUUCAAGACAGAGGUGCUCAAUGGUAUCAAAUACUGCCAACAGACCAAGUAAUACAUGCAUUGAAGUGUCUACUGGAUCUAGCUAUAUGAAUUUUUAAUUUAGGACACUUAGGCCAUACUGAAGCAAGGUGACAAAAUGAAUAGCUACAAUGUCUCGUGAAUCUUGGGUUUCCAUUCACCCUGGUAUUCAAGAGAAAUUCUUGCAUCAUGGAAGUUGCAGUUGGAUAGGACUUUCUCAGCUGAACACUGUCAUCUGCCAGAGCUUCAGGCAAGAACCCAGAACAGAUGAAACCCCAGACAUGACAAAAUAAGCCAAAGAAUACCAGGCCAAGGUGUGAAAGGCCAGAUGAGAACAAGCAGCGUACACGAUUCUGUUGCCAACAGAUCUCCCCUAACAGUGUCGUGCACCAAAUUUCCACAGUGAAUGUCAGGAAAAAAUGGCAAUUGAGGUGGGUGGUCAAAAGAGAAGCACAGUCUAUGAUGAAGUCACCCCAGAGAAGUCCUUUUUCCGUUUUCUCCUGAGAAAUUACCAGAAGAAAUUAAAAUCCUUUUGAGUAUUGCAUUUA